UGGGGAAUAUUGCACAAUGGGCGCAAGCCUGAUGCAGCGACGCCGCGUGAGGGAUGACGGCCUUCGGGUUGUAAACCUCUUUCAAUAGGGACGAAGCGCAAGUGACGGUACCUAUAGAAGAAGGACCGGCCAACUACGUGCCAGCAGCCGCGGUAAUACGUAGGGUCCGAGCGUUGUCCGGAAUUACUGGGCGUAAAGAGCUCGUAGGUGGUUUGUCGCGUUGUUCGUGAAAACUCACAGCUUAACUGUGGGCGUGCGGGCGAUAAGGGCAGGCUAGAGUACUGCCGGGGAGACUGGAAUUGCUGGUGUAGCGGUGGAAUGCGCAGAUAUCAGGAGGGACACCGGUGGCGAAGGCGGGUCUCUGGGCAGUAACUGACGCUGAGGAGCGAAAGCGUGGGGAGCGAACA
This 407-nucleotide ribosomal RNA is filed under the name uncultured bacterium. RNAcentral describes it as "bacterial SSU rRNA". It matches the Rfam family "Bacterial small subunit ribosomal RNA", at positions 355 to 774 of the family's 1533-position model. The record is from RNAcentral.